This 329-nucleotide ribosomal RNA is filed under the name uncultured eukaryote. RNAcentral describes it as "partial 18S ribosomal RNA". It matches the Rfam family "Eukaryotic small subunit ribosomal RNA", at positions 1470 to 1796 of the family's 1831-position model. The record is from RNAcentral.
CCCUUAGAUGUUCUGGGCCGCACGCGCGCUACACUGACGGAGGCAGCGAGCGUGUCCUUCGCCGGCAGGUGCAGGCAAUCUUGCGAGUCUCCGUCGUGCUGGGGAUAGAUGGUUGCAAUUGUCGAUCUUGAACGAGGAAUUCCUAGUAAGCGCGAGUCAUCAGCUCGCGCUGAUUACGUCCCUGCCCUUUGUACACACCGCCCGUCGCUACUACAGAGUGCCCGUGUCCAAGAAACGGUCGGACCUGUGCGGCCUCUCCGGGCGACCGGAGGGCCGUUACGGGGAAGACCCUUUAUUUGACGCGGGUCGAUGAAGUAAAAGUCGUAACA